AACGAACGCUGGCGGCAUGCCUAACACAUGCAAGUCGAACGAGACCUUCGGGUCUAGUGGCGCACGGGUGCGUAACGCGUGGGAACCUGCCCUUAGGUUCGGAAUAACUCCCCGAAAGGGGUGCUAAUACCGGAUAAUGUCUUCGGACCAAAGAUUUAUCGCCUUUGGGUGGGCCCGCGUUGGAUUAGCUAGUUGGUAGGGUAAAAGCCUACCAAGGCGACGAUCCAUAGCUGGUCUGAGAGGAUGAUCAGCCACACUGGGACUGAGACACGGCCCAGACUCCUACGGGAGGGAGCAGUGGGGAAUAUUGGACAAAGGGCGGAAGGCUGAACCAGCCAUGCCGCGUGAGUGAUGAAGGCCUUAGGGUUGUAAAGCUCUUUUAACCGGGAAGAUAAUGACAGGACCGGGAGAAAAAGCUCCGGCUAACUCCGUG
RNAcentral lists this ribosomal RNA (433 nucleotides) under uncultured bacterium. Its description in RNAcentral is "partial 16S ribosomal RNA". It matches the Rfam family "Bacterial small subunit ribosomal RNA", at positions 29 to 507 of the family's 1533-position model. The record is from RNAcentral.